Long non-coding RNA from Dicentrarchus labrax (European seabass), 797 nucleotides. RefSeq lists it as uncharacterized. The transcript is spliced from 3 exons. NCBI's taxonomy places the organism in Eukaryota, Metazoa, Chordata, Actinopteri, Moronidae. The record is from RefSeq and is a predicted model, not a curated record.
AUUUAUCCAAUGAGGAUCAAGAGAGGUCAACGGUCGUGCUUCUAAUGGGCCAGUCACGUCAUUUCAAAACCGGACUAACCGCGAACACCGCAGGAAGUUUGCGGUUCUGACUCCGCAACAAAGCUCCGUGUCUGCUCGCUCCUGGAGACUUUUAUUGCUUCGCUGCGCGGGAGAAGUUUUUUCCACCCUUGGCCUCCGCGGGUCCGCCACCAAACGUCCAGAAAAUCGGUUUUUAGUCAGGAUUAAUCCGGACUCCACCAAGUGCAGUGCCAAGGAGCAGAUGAGCCGGAAGACUGGGAGAGUGGUGAAGCGGAAGACUUCAUACAUGAACCCCCAAUCUCCUUCAUCAGGGACUUCACUGAGUUCGAUUGGCAAACUGACUAGAUGCAGGGCUCCAACUGGGAUCUGGGUCUCCAAGUUCAGGGCAAGCAAGAGGCCAUAGACUUUUAUUUCAAGUGUGAGGGGAAUGAGAGGACUUUACAGUGUCCUGAUGCAUUGUUCAUGCAAAUGUUCAGUAUUUUAAAGUAAAUGUAUAAUUGUGAAGCUCGGCUGACUGCUUUUUUUUUUUUUUUUUUUUUUGAUUUCUUGUUUCUAAUGUUUCAGGCGUGCCUGGGUAGUUGCAGUAGUCAGACAAAGUAGAGGUGUCUCUUUCAUUGUUGUGUUGGUUCUGAAGUGGUACUUGAUCUGAAAAGUUUGGUAACCUGUGCUUUAUCAUGUUCCUGUUCACCAAAUGUCUUCAAUGAAUAAUUGUGUCAACAAUUUUCUUGUUUUCUGUAGUAAAUUGAAAUAUUUUAGAA